CUGUAACCGUCCUUCCUGAGGAAACUACCCACCCCGCCACUCUGGCUUGCACCCCUGUCCUCUUUGAAGUAGCCAGUCAAAAUUAGCUUAGAGUGUGCAGUACAACCCUAUCCAAUAGGGGAAAGAUACAGCAGUAGGGACUAUCUGUAUUAGGAAUAAGAACCCUUUCCCCUCCCUUAUCCAGUGUGCCCUUGCCAUUGCUCCAUCUGCAAGACUCACCCUUCUAUAGAAGUAAAUUUGCCUUGCUGGAGUGUUAACUUGUUGUUGGAGUGCUAACUCUUCUUUGUGGCACCAAAAAGUUAUUUCCAACACGAAGCUGCACCCUUGGUGGAGGGAACAUCUGACGAAGUUCAAUGUUUGGGGAAAACAAUAUCUGGAAAGAUUGAAGAGUCAGCAGGAGAAACACCUAGGAAAAUUACAAGGCCUGUGAAAGAAACAUCUGAGAAAUUUGCAUGGCCACAAGAAAGACCUACAAAGACCACAUGGGAGGAAAAAGAAACAUCUGUAAAGACUGAAUGCGUGGCAGGAGUAACAUCUAAUAAAACUGAAGUUUUGGAAGAAGGAACAUCUAAGAUGAUCACAUGUCCUACAAAAAAACAGCUACAAAAGCAAGUACACAUGGAAGGAUGCAUUAGUCUUUCACCUGUUCAGUAUGAUGUUGGCUGAGGAUUUGUCUCAUAUGGCUGUUAUUAUUUUGAGGUAUGUUCCUUCAAUGCCUAGUUUUUUGAGAAUUUUUUUCAUAAAUAGAUAUUACAUUUUAUUAAUUGCUAUUUCCACAUCUAUUGAGGUAAUGUGGUUUUGUUUUUUAAUUAUUUUUAUAUGUUGAAUCACAUUUAUAGAUUUCACAUGUUAAAACAUUCCUGCAUUCACAGAAUAAUGUCCACAUAGUUGCAGUGAAAUAACUUUGAUUUCCUGAGUCAGUUUGCAAGCAUUUCAUGAAUAAUUUUUGUGUCUGUAUUCAUCAGGCAUAUUGGCCUGUAAUUCUUUUUGUUGUGUCUUUACCUGAUUAAUAUAUCAAGAUGAGACUGAUAUUAUAUGAUAGAAUUAAUUAGGAAGGAGUCCCACUUUGAUUUUUUGGAAUACUUUCUGUAGAAUUACAGGCAACUCAUUUUUGUAUACGUGAUAAAAUCAUGCUGUGAAUGCAUCUGGUUUAGCACUUUUUAUAAUUGGUAGAUUUUUUUAAUCACCAAUUCAAUUUGCUUACACAUUUUUGGUUUCUUCAAGACUUCUGUUUAUUCCUGAUUCAAUCUUGGGAGGUUGUAUAUUUCUAAGAGUUUAUUCAUUUCCUCUAGACUUUCUAGUUGGUGUGCACAGAGAUAUUUAUAGUAGUCUGCAAGUAUGUUUUGUAUUUUUGUGGGAUUGGUU
Molecule: long non-coding RNA, 1365 nt
Filed under: Homo sapiens (human)
Lineage: Eukaryota; Metazoa; Chordata; Mammalia; Primates; Hominidae
Description: HSALNT0352432
Source: RNAcentral